RNAcentral lists this ribosomal RNA (468 nucleotides) under uncultured bacterium. RNAcentral's name for it is "partial 16S ribosomal RNA". It matches the Rfam family "Bacterial small subunit ribosomal RNA", at positions 28 to 507 of the family's 1533-position model. The record is from RNAcentral.
GACGAACGCUGGCGGCGUGCUUAACACAUGCAAGUCGAACGGAAAGGCCCUGCUUUUGUUGGUUGCUCGAGUGGCGAACGGGUGAGUAACACGUGAGUAACCUGCCCUUGUCUUUGGGAUAUCUUCAGGGAACUGGGGCUAAUACCGGAUAGGAUCUCCUGCUGCAUGGUGGGGGAUGGAAAGUUUCGGCGGUUGGGGAUGGACUCGCGGCUUAUCGGCUUGUUGGUGGGGUAGUGGCUUACCAAGGCUUUGACGGGUAGCCGGCCUGAGGGGGUGACCGGCCUCAUGGGGACUGCGGGACGGCGCAGACGCCUACGGGAGGCAGCGGGGGGGAGUAUUGCAGAAUGGGCGGAAGCGUGAGGCAGCAGCGCCGCGUGCGUGAUGACGGGUUUCGGGUUAUAAACCGCUUUCGCCUGUGACGAAGAGUGAGUGACGGUAAUGGGUAAAGAAGCACCGGCUAACUACGUG